RNAcentral lists this long non-coding RNA (7858 nucleotides) under Medicago truncatula (barrel medic). RNAcentral describes it as "long non-coding RNA (MTRU_LNC006310)". Lineage: Eukaryota; Viridiplantae; Streptophyta; Magnoliopsida; Fabales; Fabaceae. The record is from RNAcentral.
UGAAAAGUAGUUAACAGCUAAAUUGAUAUGUUCAAGUGAAGACAUGUUUAAAAUUGUUUGAGGUAUGGGUCCAGACAUCUUGUUCCGACCAAUUCCCAAUUCUUUCAACUGAUGAAGGUUACCAAUAGAUUGGGAAAUAAAACCACUGAAAUUGUUAACGCCAAGAUACAAAUAUUCAAGUUGUGAUAAGUCCCCUAACGCUGCAGGAAUCCCCCCUUCAAACUCGUUAUAGCUGAUAUGAAGAAUCUUUAAUCGGCGCAACCGAAAUAACUCUGUAGGAAGCUGACCACCGAAGCUAUUGUUUUUGAGGUCAAGUAUAACAAGAAAGGACAGAUUCCCCAAGUUUGGGGAAACGGUACCUCUAAGACACAUAUUUAGGAGAAUCAAACUGUGGACUCUACCGUGUCGCUCAUCACAAGUUACACCAACCCAAUUGCAUACAGAAGAGGAAGUUGACCAAUUAUUAGCCAACACAUCAUAAGGGUCUGAAGUAAUUAGGGAUUUGAAAGCUAGAAGAGCAGAUUGAUCAGUUGUGAUGUUUUUUGUAUUUGCAGCUAAGCAAGCAAUAAAACAACAAUGCAAUGAAAGCGAUAAAAGAAAGAGAUGAGAUGAUAGAUCAACCAUUUUCCCGUAAUGUGUGUGAAUAAUUGAUGAGGCAAGGGACUGAAGGAAUGAUACAUAUAUAUUAACGUGUAUUUCACUUCACUCCCCACUAUUUGUUGGUGGGUUGUGUGGUUGAAGUCAACCGGGUCAACAAAGAUAGAUAUUAAAAUGAUUGUUGUCUUUGACGAAAAUACGAUACGACCAGGAAGCAACUAUAGAUGAAGGGAUUUCCACUUAUUCUUAAAAUAAUAAUAUUAAAGACGAAGGGCAAAUGAAAAGAAUCCCUUAAAGUUAAGUUUCUAUUUUAAAGUCAAUCAACGACAAAAAGGGGAGGAAAUAAAGAAGCAAAUGGGUAACAUACUUUUGCAGGAUUUUAAUUAAUAAUUAACUAAACAUGUUACAUGUGUAUUACAAUUAGUCCCACAUCGGGGAGUUUAAAAACAAUAGUCAGGAGUGGUGGUUAUAAAAGAAAAUCGCUUGUGUGAAUGCAUAGUACGCUACAGUUGUAAAUGACUACAUAUUAUUUUCUUCUUUGUAGUCUUAAAAUAAACAUGUUCUAUAGUUUUAUCUUAGUUCUUUUGUUUUUUUUUUAAAUAAAGUAAAUGGUCAAGAUAUGGCCUUUUGACAAAAACAAAAAAACUUUCGAAUUAUGUUACUUGAACAACGGGUUGAACCUACCGAGCCGAACUGAGUUUUUCGUGAACUUUAAAUGAGCCGAACUCAAGUUAAAAAAAGGGUUUGCAUCGAACUUGAGUCGACUUUCGAGCCGAACCAAUUCUUAUCGAGUCGAGCUCAGACAAAUUCGGUUCGACUCGACUCAUUUCCAACACUAGUUGGCGGGUUGUGUGGUUCAAGUCAACCAGGUCAACAAAGAUAGAUAUUGAAAUGAUUAUUGUCUUUGACGAAAAUACGAUACAACCAGGAAGCAACUAUAGAUGAAGGGAUUUCCACUUAUUCUUAAAAUAAUAAUGUUAAAGAGGAAGGGCAAAUGCAAAGAAUUCCUUAAAGGACAAGAGUAUAGCAUACGAUAAUAUGUUUUAUUAUUAUUUUUAUCAUUUAGUCUAAUGACUUUUUUUUUUUUUUUAGAGCAAAUAAAUUAUAUCAUUUCAUUAAAAAUCAAUUCGGAAAUACAUGCUGGAAUAUCAUCAAAGACCUGGAAGCUAGUACUACAUGUGGUUGCCUUAGCUAAAGCAUGUGCAACCUCAUUUGCUUACCUCCUAAUAAACUCGACAUGAGAGUUUGUUAAAUAUUCAUUACAGAAGCUUAAACUACUAUCCAUAAUGGAGCCAAACUCGGUGAUAUCUCCACGACCUUUGUUGAAAUAAUCAGCUACUCUUUUUGAGUCAACCUCGAAAUCAACAUUUGAGAGUUGAAGUUCAUGAAUCCACCGAAUCGCAUGAUUUAAAGCCAGGGCUCCCCAACAUCGACAGAGUAGGUCGGAGUGAACCACAUGAUUUUAGAACGGACAUGGUUCCCAUCCGAGUCUCGGAUACACAUACCAAAACCUACCUUGUUUGUUGUGGUGGGAAAGGAGGCAUCAAUAUUACACUUAUAUCUGCCUCUUGUUGGUUUCUCCCAUUUGAAAUUGGCAUCGACGUUGAAUUUUGAAGAGCUCGGAGCGGAGGCUGAAGUGUUUGAGUUUAUGUGCACUUGCUUGCGGUUUGCAUUCCUCCUCCCUUCAAGAAGAUGCUUUGCUCUUUCCAGAAUGGUAAUAUUUGAAUCAGACACUUGUUGCCAUAACUUGAGAUUUCUAGCUUUUCAGAUGCUCCACAUGAGAGUGACAUUUAUCUCAAUUUGAGUUGCUGACAACCUUUGCAACAAGUUAAAAAUAAUAUAAGGGGCAUUGUCAAAUUGGUUUAGUGAUGGAGAGAUUAAAUGCCACAAAUUAGUUGUCUGCCAAAUAUCAACUGCACUUGGGCAAUGAAAGAGAAUAUGAUAGUUGUAACGCUCUCUUUAAUUAUUUGAUUAUUUUAAUAAGUUUAGAAUAUACUUAUAUGAUUUGUAUGAUUUAUUUUGAUGAGUGGUAUUUUGUUAUGUUAUAUGUUGAUAUUUAUUAGUAUAAUAUAUAUAUAUGAUUUGUUUUAGAAAUAUAUAUUUGUUAUUGUUAAUUGUUAUAGAAAUAUUUUAUAAUAUAUAUAUAUAUAUAUAUUAGAAUAGAAUAUUAAGAUUUGGAUAUAAGAGAAAAAUAAGUAGGUUAAGGAUUUUUAUAAAAGGGGAGAGCUAGAAUAUUUUGCAACACAAUCUGAAAUAUUUUGGUAGGCAAUCUAAUAUAUUUUAGUGCAUGCUUUGAAAUAUAUUUUGAUACUUAAUAAUAUAUUUUUGUACUGAAUAAUGUAUUUUUGUACUUAAUAUAAUAUAUUUUAGUACUCAAUUGAGAUAUUUAAGUACUAGAUCUAAUAGGUGCAUUACUUGUUUCCAGUUGUAAACUAUCCCUAUAAAUAGAGAACUCACAAAGUGCAUUCUACACACCGAAAUUCACAGUUGAUGCUUCCUGUACUUUUCUUGUCUUCUCCCUCUUUUGAUUUGUGUUGACGAGUCUUUCUUCUUUUUUUUACUCCUUUCUGUCCCUUCGGAAUUAAAAGUGUUCUUAAGACCAUAAUCCCUCUUCGGUUUAAUAUCCUUUUAGAGAAGAGAAAGCGGUAGAGUCCUUCGAAGAUCAAUCCAAGGUAAGGGUGGGACUAACAUUCAAUAAUCUUAUGUCAUUGAUUCUGAAAAUUGGAUUUAAUAUGUUGUAAGUUUUAGUUUUGAGAAUUUGGGAAUUAGGNUAUUAUUGUUAUUUUCAUUAUGUUAAAAAUUCAAACUUUAUAAUCUCAAACUCUCAUCUAAUCAUUAUUUAAAGUUAAUUGAAUUCAUAACUUCCUGUCGGAACGAUACUCUUUUAUUACUACUUCGAUAAGACCGUGCACUUGCGGUUUUAUCCCAUCAAGUUUUUGGCGCCGCUGCCGUGGAGUUAUUGUAAUUUGAUUAAUUUUUUUUAGUGGUUAGACUGAAUUUUUUUUAAAUAAAAAAAUAUAUAUUCUUUUUCUUUUUUGCCUUCAACUUUUGGAGUUUUUUAUUCUUGAGUGCGAAGAACCAUAAGUCUUGGAGAAUUCGUUUCUGAGAUUGAAAUGUUCUUCGUGAAAGAAGAUGCAACACACAUAAUAAUAACAAUAUGGCUGAGGAGCGCACUCUCAAAUAGUAUGCAAUCCCAUCUUCAUAUGAGUUAUACGCUGUUAUUGUGUACCCAACAAUUGAGGACAAUUUUGAAAUAAAACCUGCACUUAUUUAUUUAGUGCAGCAAAAUCAAUUUUUCGGAUCUCCUACUGAGGAACCUUGAAGACUCAGUGGAACCUACGGACAAUUUUCGGAUCACCUACGGACAAUUUUAAGACUCAGUGGAACCUUGAAGGCAAACCAAGAGGCUGUAAGGCUGCACCUCUUUCUUUUUUCCUUAAGUGAUAGAGCUAGUGCUUGGUUUCAUUCAUUGACAAUUGGUUCUAUCACUUCAUGGGACCAAAUGAGGCUAGCUUUCCUUGCCCAAUACUGUCCCCUUUCAAAAACCGCUCAAUUAAGGGCGGGGCUUUUUCAAUUCACUCAAAAAGAUGGGGAAUCUCUUUACGAUGCGUGAGACCGUUUCAAAGAAAUGCUCAGGCUUUGCCCUCAUCAUGGUUUAGAGAAGUGGCUUAUUAUCCACACCUUUCGUAAUGGUCUUUUGUAUACCACAAAAAUUUAUGUUGAUGCAGCUGCAGGUGGAGCUUUGAUGAAUAAAACUUACACAGCAGCAUAUGAUUUGAUCGAGGGCAUGGCACAAAACCACUAUCAGUGGACAAGUGAGAGAGUCAUAAUCCGCUUCAUCACCCUUCCCACACAAAAAUUCCCUCAAAAAAAUUUCACCAAUUUUUUUUUACCCAAACCCCAUCAUUAAACCAACCCUUCCCACACAAAACCUUUUCCAAACCUAACCUCCACCCAAACCCCCACCAAGUCAAAUUUAUGUCAAUGACAUCCAAGAGAAAAAUUAAGGAGAUUGAAGGCCCCGGAAGCGGUGCAAGAAGAAAACAAUCAAUAGUCCGAAAUCAUGGGAUCCAAUUCAAGAAUCCCGAGCAAAAGAAUAGGUAUAAAUCUCAAAUCUCUAGAACUAUCUCUUCCGGCAGGUACCCUGAUGAUUAAUGCUUUGGAUAGACUAGGAAUAGAGGAACAUAUGAUUAGGUUGUUGAAUAACACAACCUUGUACUUAGGUACUUUCAAAGGGUUAUGGCUUGCACCAUAUAGGAUAGGAAAGAAGUAGGAAUGAUGAGGACUGUUGAGCUGUAUAUGUUGUGGGUUAUGCUUUAUAACCACCCUGUUAACAUUUGCUAUUAUUCGCUUAUUAUCUUGUUUCAAUUGCUCGAAAGAAACCGGAUGAUAAAGGUGAUAUAGUGGUAGGGGGAAUCAUCACUUAUCUUUUUAUAACAGUAAAAACAAUUGUAAGACAUAAAAGUUAUAUUAAUAGUUAAUGUGGUAGGAGAAUUUAGAAAUGAAGGACAAAAAUCCAUAAAUCAAACAAAAAAGGGGAGAAAAACUAGCCAAUUAAUGUACAUAUAGUUUAUUAUUUAUUUUUAUAUAACAGUAAAAACAAUUGUAAGACAUAAAAGUUAUAUUAAUAGAAAAAAUUUGUAUCAAAAAAUAAUUUAAUAGAAAAAUUUACUUAUAAAUGUUGAUAGAUCUUUGUUAGAAAGUUUUAUAAUGGACCCGUUUGUUAUUACUUUUUUGAAAAUAGAUUUUAGUAGUGUAAUAUAUUUGUUACGCUUUUUUUAACAAAGAAAUUUUUUCGGAAAGCUUCAAAUGAAAAAUUUCUUUCAAUAACUUAUCUUAAAAUGUAAUUCUAAAAAUUUUAUCAUUUUUGUUGAAAUUUUUUAUGAUAAUAAAAUUGUGAAAAAAUGUCUAAAAAAAAAAGCUAUUUUAAAUUGAUUUUCAUAAAAACCAUUUUUAAAGAUGUCAUUUUGAAAAAAUAUGUGAUUUAGUUAGUGUUUGAUAAUCACAUGCUAUUGUUUCAUUUGUAUAUAAUAAUUUGAUGUAUUACAAUAAUUUCAUAUUUUGUGAAUGAUAGGUCAAUUGUGUAACCAUGCUUUUUUAUAAUUUGGAGGAAUAUGAAUAGCUAACUAUGGUUAUAUUGAAUAGAUGAGAUUGCAAGAUGCACAGAAAUUAUAAAUCCAAUUCUAAUCACAUUAGAUAUCAAAUAUGUUAUGAAUGUGAAGCAGAUAGCAAAGGUGCAUAUAAUAAUAAUAUAUACUUCACAAUCACAACAAUCCAAAUUAUAUAGGAAAACAUAUAUUAUAACUUUGAUUUGGCCCCAUCUUAACACUCAAUACAGCCUAAAAAUGAUUCACAUGUGUUAACAAAUUGUGUAUGGGAUUAAAUUUAAAUUGAGGAAUCAAUUACUAUGUUGUUAACAGGAAUGAUGUUUGCGUGUUUUUAUGAUUAAGGUUGUCAAGGGGCUAUGUGGAAGGAACUGUGGGAGUAAAUAUAUUUAUCAGCUGUCUUGCUUGAAGGAUGGAUCAUUUAUGCUUUAUGUAUUGGAGAUUAAAUUAGCACAUAUAUGCUAUAAUCUGGAUGUUUUAGGGGAAUUUUGAUAUUGGCUUAUUUACAUUUGUGAAAAAACAGGUCUUGCUGCAAAAUAGGAUGGUCAUGCCGAGAGGACUAUCCAGUCCUUAGAAGAUUUAUUGAGAGAAUGUGUUCUAAAGCAAGGGACAUGGGAUGACACAUAUUUAGUUGUUUGAAAAUGAGUUUCCUACGCCAUGAUUAAUGAGAUCAUGUUUAUUAUUUAAAAAUUUAUAUAAAAAAUACAAAUAUUUGUAAAAUAUUACAUAAAAUACAUGAGACUCAUUAACGCCGUCUUUAUUAUUAAUGAGAUAUAUCUUUAUUAUUUGUAAUACUAUGACAUAUUUUUAGUCUAACAUAUUAUAAUAUUUAAGCCAAAUACCAUAUUUGGUCCUUUUAGUUUGACAUAAUUUUCAAGUUAGUCCUUUAAGUUUCAAAAGUUUCAAAUAGAUCCUUUUAGUUUGACCGAAUUCCUAAGUUAGUCCUUUAAAUUUCAAAAGUUUCACAUAUGUCAUUUUACUUGAUAAACUAUUUCAUCGUUACACCUGCUGUCAGUUAAUAAUUAAUUGAUGUUGAUGUAACCGUUAAGUUGUUAAAUUGGAUAAAAACGAUGCAUUUUAAAAGUUUCGGGUGUCAAAACGUUAAGUUUAAUGGUCACAAACAUCAAUUUAGCACUAUAAAUGUCGUUUAAUAGUGCUAGAAAUGUAUUUGUUGGUGUAAAUAGUUGUCUUUCUGGCACUAUAAAUUAUCAUUUGUGAUUAUUAAAAGUUGCUUUUUACACCAUGGAGCUUUUAAAAGGUAACAUUUUGAUCCAAGUCAACAACUUAACGACUACAUCAGCAUCAGUUAAACGGAUACUGACGGCAGGGGUAACAGUGAAAUAGUUUAUCAACUAAAAUGAAAUAUUUGAAACUUUUGAAAUUUAAAGGACUAACUUGAGAAUUCUGUCAAAUUAAAAAGACCUAAUUUGAAACUUUCAAAACUUAAAGGACUAACUUGGAAAUUCUAUCAAACUAAAAGAAUCAAUUGUGUUAUUUGACCUAAUAUUUAUUAAUAACCAUUUCAAUAUUUUUAUAUCUAACAUCAACUUAUCAUUAAUCUUUUAUUAUUUUUCAAUGCAGAUGACAUUGUUAAUACUAUAACGCAUGAUUUGGGCUUCGACGCUUUACCCGUGCGGAGUUUAUUACGAUUUUUAUAAAAUGGUCAUAUGUAACCGCUGUUAGUGUGGAACGGGAGGAGUAACAAAUGAAUCCUAUAUUAAUAUUCUAAAAUCACAGAUAGUGGGAAAAAAAUAUAACACAUUAUAUCAAAAAGUACGAGUACCUGAAAAGUAGUUAACAGCUAAAUUGAUAUGUUCAAGUGAAGACAUGUUUAAAAUUGUUUGAGGUAUGGGUCCAGACAUCUUGUUCUGACCAAUUUCCAAUUCUUUCAACUGAUGAAGGUUACCAAUAGAUUGGGAAAUAAAACCACUGAAAUUGUUAACGCCAAGAUACAAAUAUUCAAGUUGUGAUAAGUCCCCUAACGCUGCAGGAAUCCCCCCUUCAAACUCGUUAUAGCUGAUAUGAAGAAUCUUUAAUCGGCGCAACCGACAUAACUCUGUAGGAAGCUGACCACCGAAGCUAUUGUUUUUGAGGUCAAGUAUAACAAGAAAGGACAGAUUCCCCAAGUUUGGGGAAACGGUACCUCUAAGACNNNN